This 925-nucleotide ribosomal RNA is filed under the name uncultured bacterium. RNAcentral describes it as "bacterial SSU rRNA". It matches the Rfam family "Bacterial small subunit ribosomal RNA", at positions 9 to 907 of the family's 1533-position model. The record is from RNAcentral.
GAGUUUGAUCCUGGCUCAGGACGAACGCUGGCGGCGUGCCUAAUACAUGCAAGUGGAACGCAUGAUUGAUACCGGAGCUUGCUCCACCAUUAAUCAUGAGUCGCGAACGGGUGAGUAACGCGUAGGUAACCUACCUCAUAGCGGGGGAUAACUAUUGGAAACGAUAGCUAAUACCGCAUAACAGUAUUUAUCGCAUGGUAAAUGCUUGAAAGGAGCAACUGCUUCACUAUGAGAUGGACCUGCGUUGUAUUAGCUAGUUGGUGGGGUAACGGCUCACCAAGGCAUCGAUACAUAGCCGACCUGAGAGGGUGAUCGGCCACACUGGGACUGAGACACGGCCCAGACUCCUACGGGAGGCAGCAGUAGGGAAUCUUCGGCAAUGGGGGGAACCCUGACCGAGCAACGCCGCGUGAGUGAAGAAGGUUUUCGGAUCGUAAUGCUCUGUUGUAAGAGAAGAACGUGUGUGAGAGUGGAAAGUUCACACAGUGACGGUAACUUACCAGAAAGGGACGGCUAACUACGUGCCAGCAGCCGCGGUAAUACGUAGGUCCCGAGCGUUGUCCGGAUUUAUUGGGCGUAAAGCGAGCGCAGGCGGUUUGAUAAGUCUGAAGUAAAAGGCUGUGGCUUAACCAUAGUAUGCUUUGGAAACUGUCAAACUUGAGUGCAGAAGGGGAGAGUGGAAUUCCAUGUGUAGCGGUGAAAUGCGUAGAUAUAUGGAGGAACACCGGUGGCGAAAGCGGCUCUCUGGUCUGUAACUGACGCUGAGGCUCGAAAGCGUGGGGGAGCAAACAGGAUUAGAUACCCUGGUAGUCCACGCCGUAAACGAUGAGUGCUAGGUGUUGGGUCCUUUCCGGGACUCAGUGCCGUAGCUACGCAUUAAGCACUCCGCCUGGGGAGUACGACCGCAAGGUUGAAACUUCAAAGG